This 246-nucleotide long non-coding RNA is filed under the name Elaeis guineensis (African oil palm). RNAcentral's name for it is "long non-coding RNA (EGUI_LNC046331)". Lineage: Eukaryota; Viridiplantae; Streptophyta; Magnoliopsida; Arecales; Arecaceae. The record is from RNAcentral.
CUUCUCUAUUCCUCCUCUUGAUCUUCUCUUGCUUUGGAGUAUCCAAGGUACUUGAAGAAGGUGAAACAUAUCAGCUAUCGAAGUUGCUUGCAGGCUAGUACCUCCAAAUCCCUGAUCUCCGUCUUUGUUUGCAUGGAUUUUCUUAUAGAGGCCAGACAACUUCAUGUGAUUGUGAACAAUCUGAAGAACACCUUCUCCAACCAUUGGAUCAGAGGAGAUCAAGAUCAAAUUUAUUUGGUAAGGAUC